Molecule: long non-coding RNA, 5191 nt
Filed under: Homo sapiens (human)
Lineage: Eukaryota; Metazoa; Chordata; Mammalia; Primates; Hominidae
Description: HSALNT0025641
Source: RNAcentral
GUUGGAAAAUAAUUGCAAAGUAAGCUCAAUGGAAUUAUUGGUGCAAACUGAAUAUCUUCUGACUGUUUACUAAAAGAAGGGUGAUGUAUAACAACCGUAGGUUUUAUUCAUAUAAAUGAGCUGAAAAUUCACAGUAGCUUUGUAACUACUUGCUGGAUAACUGCAUACAUUCAGGGAUUUUUUUCCCCAAUAAUAAAAACUUUUACUCAUAAUCACCAAAACUUAGAUGGAACCAAGAUGUCCUUCAGUAGAUUAAUGGAUAAAUAUACUGUGGUACAUCCAGACAAUGGAAUAUUGUUCAUCAGUAAAAAGGAAGGAGCUAUCGAGCUAUGGAGGAAACUUACAUGCUACUACAUGAAAGAAGCCAAUCUGAAAAGGCUACAUGUUGUAGAAUUCCAACUCUGUGACACUCUGGAAAAUGCAAAACUAUGGAGACUGUGAAAAUAUCAGUGGUUUCUAGAAAUUGGGUGAAGGCGGGGAUGAAUAGGCCGAGUGCAGAGGAUUUUUAGGGCAGUGAAACUAUUCCAUAUGAUGCUAUGAUGGUGGAAACGUGUCAUCGUACAUGUGUCAAAACACAUAGAAUACACAGUAACAAGAAUGAGCACUAAUAUAAACUAUGGACUUUAGGUGAUUAAUGAGGUGGCAAUGCAGGCUCAUCAAUUGUAAGAAAAUGCACCACUCUAGUGGGUGAUGUUGAUAAUGGGGGUGGGAGUGUUACACACAGGUGGGGCUAAGAGUAUAUGGGACAUCUCUGUACCUUCUGCUCAAUUUUGCUGUGAACCUAAAACUGCUCUAAGAAAUAAAGCCUACUGAUAUGGUUUGAAUCUCUGUCCCCACCCAAAACUCACAUUGAAUUGUAAUCCCCAGUGUGGGAGGUAGGGCCUGGUGGAAGGUGAUCGGAUCAUGGGGACGGCGUUCUCAUGAAUGGUUUAGUACAUCCCCUUGGUACUGUACAGUGAGUGAGUUCUCAUGAGAUCUGGUUAUUUAAAAGUGUUUAGCACCCUCCUCCCUUCCUCCUGCUCUGCCAUGUAGAUGUGCCUGCUUCCUCUUCACCUUCUGCCAUGACUAGAAGCUUCUUGAGUCCUCCCCAGAUGCCACUGUGCUUCCUGUACAGCCUGCAGAACCGUGAGCCAAUUAAAUCUCUUCUUUACAGACUGGGCGUGGUGGCUCACACCUGUAAUCCCAGCACUUUGGGAGGCUGAGGCAGGCGAAUCACUUGAGGCCAGGAGUUCAAGACCAGCCUGGACAUCAUGGCAAAACCCCGUCUCUACUAAAAACACUAAAAUUAACCAGGUGUAGUGGCGCACGCCUUUAGCUAUUUGAGUGGCUGAGGCAUGAGAAUCUCUUGAACCUGGGAAGUGAAGGCUGCAGUGAGCUAUGAUGCUGAGAUCACACCACUGAACUCCAGCCUGGGCAACACAGCUAGACUGUUUCAAAAAAAAGAAAAAAAAUCUUCUUUAUAAAUUACCCAGUUUCAGGUAUUUCUUUAUAGCAAUGUGAGCAUGGACUAAUAGUCUACUAAAAAGAAAAAAGGUUAUUCUACACAAAGUGGUAUGUUCCUCUGGGUAGAGAUUUCCCUUUUUUUCCUCCCAAAAAUUUGGUUAUAAGGAUGGGAUCCCUCAACUAAGCCCUCCACUGGGCACAUUUCUUGGAGUAUUUGUAGCCAUCUUUAAUCAAAUAAGGGACUAUUUGCUAAAAAGUGUUUCUUCAACUACUUUGGUUCAGUGGAAUUGGGUUCCCAGGGAAAAUCCCAAACUCUCACUAGAAGUUUUGAGUUACCAUUGAGUAAAAUUGGUAAUGUGGCUGAAAGGCCCUGUGUGGUUUGCUGUUGGCUUUAAUGGUAAAAUGUUCUGAAAACUCUGGAAUGCUGUCAGCGGGUCCCUCUCCUGGAAGGCGUGCUUCACUCUGCCAUGCCGGGCUCCAGGAGGAUAACUGCUUGCUGCUCCAGCAACUCAGGCUGCUUGCUGUGCCUGGAAUGCUCAGCAUGAGGGGCCACCGAGGGCAGUUCCUGAAGCCUCUCCACUGAAGGUGGACUGGGAGAAGCCACAGUGCCACGCUUCUUAGCCACAUGAGGCCCGUGAGUUUUCACCAGCUGUUCACCUUUCCUAAGUCCAAGGCAUGUCUCAGGGGGUCCGGGCUCCUGAUCCUCUCCACUUCUGUGGCAGCUUUGUUGCAGAGAAUUCAAGAGAGCAAAUAAGGGAAAAUGUAGUUGGGUGGCAAGAAUAAUUUCUCACGUUUUGAGGGAAGUAGCCCAAGUUUGGGAAAAUAUGGAGAAAGAUAAAGAAGACAAAAAAAUAGCCCUUAAGAUUUCCCAGUUAGAAUUAUUCACAAAGGGAAUAAACCCUUAUCUGGGGCCACCACCAGACAAGAAGGAACCCCGUAAUGGAAAGUCAAUAUGUUACUGUUGUAAGAAAUCAGGACAGUGGAGGAAAAAUGAAUGCUAAACGAGGGUCAAGAAGAGUUGAGAGAUACAAGCUAACUCUAAAGCUUUACCGUCAUCUCCAAGAGAUUUUUGCCUAAGGAAAUUGGACAAAAAGUAAUUGGAAAAUUGUGGAAAGUAACCUCAGAGCUGAGGGUGGGAGGCAUUUAUGUGUCUCUUUCUUUUCCCACUUUAAGCUUGUCCUGAUCUUUCUUGUGAACACUGAAGGCACACACUCCACAAUUUCUACAGACGGUUAUCAUUUUACGUCAACCUAGGAAAACAUCCAACUUUUGGGUACCUCUAGACAACCUUCUCCCUGUUCUUUCUUCUCUGAGGUUUCUCAACAAGUAGAUUCUCCAUACUGUAGAUGGAGUGUUUUCAGAGCUCCCAGGAGGCAAGGAGUUGGUAAAUAAGCACUUUCUAAAAUAAAAGAACUAUCAUUAUCUAUUUGUUCAUCAAAUAGAUACUUAGGUUUUUCCCAUAUCUUGACUAUUGUGAAUAAUGCUGCAAUGAACUGAGACUGCCGACAUUUUCACAAGGUCACUUUCUCUGACUAUAUGCCCAGAGGAGAGAUUGCUAGGCCAUAAUGUAGUUCUUUUUAAAAUUUCCUUAGGAGCCUCCAUACUGUUUUGCAUAAUGGCUGUGGCAAUCUACAUUUCCACUAACAGAGUACAAGCAUCCCCUUUUCUACAUACCCUCACCAACACUUAUUAUCUCCUGACUUUUUGAUAGUAGCCAUGCUUACAGAUGUGAGACAUUUCACAGUGGCUUUAAUUCACAUUUUCCUGGUGACUGAUAACAUUGAGCACAUUUUCAUAUACCUGUUGGCCACUUUUAACGUCUUCUUUGGAGAAGUGGCUAUGUAGGUCCCUUGUCCAUUUUUUUAAUUCGGUUGUUUGUUUUUUUAAUAUGGAAUUGUAUGAGUUCUUUAUAAAUAUUGGAUUUUGUUUCCAAAUCUGUAGGUUGCCAUUUUAUUUUGUUGAUUGUGUUUUUUGCUGUUCAGCCUUUAAAAAGAAGGAGAUCUUGCCAUUUGCCACAACAUGCAUGAACCUGGAGGACACUAUGCAAAGUGAAACAAGCCAGACAAAGAAUGAAAAAUAUUCCAUGAUCUCACUUACAUAUUGAAUCUUUUAAAAAAACAGAUUUCUGUAAUGCACUGUAGACUGCAUUACAGACCUAACAAGAUGAAACAUAUAAAGGAAGUAAAAAGGGCUAAUAAAGUUUGAACUGCGGAAGUCGAAGCCCCGUUACUGCUGCAGAGGAACUCCUAUUCGCUGUUUCAGCAACAAACAACCCUCCAAGACUUAGAAAAUAAGAAAGAAAGAAAAUGGGGUGUCCUCAAUAGGAUUAUUCCUGUCCCCCAGUUGUACGAUUGAGUGGAUUUUUCAUGCCAUCAGCAAGCUCAUUUGAACAAAAGAAUACUCUGAAAACCUUGGAAUUCUACUACAUUUGCUAUAGGGUCAAAUAGUUCAGGAAAUGACACAAAGGUGUGCUGUUUGUCAGCAAAGUUAUUUGUGGGAAACACCCAAGUUAAGUCGAAGAAGCCCGCUGAGGCCAACAUGAUCUGAGAACUGGACAAACAUGGACUUUACAGAAGUUGUGCCCUCGGAAGUUAAGAAUUAUUGUUUAGCAGGGAUGUGUAUGAUGCCUGGAUGGCCGGAGGGCGUUCACGUGCUAAAGCAAAUGCUCAAACAAUGAUCAUAUCAUUACUGAAUUUUAUCAUUCUAACCUUUGGGAUUCCAGAACAUGUAAAAUCCAGUAGAUAAGCCAUUUGGUUUCUACGGGGCUAAUUUAGGGGCUCUUUAAAACACUACAGAGGUCUUUAAAUUAUUAUACUCUUUAUUAUCACCAAGCUCCUGGGCUGGUAGAAUGACUAAACCACAGUGUAUUAGUCCAUUCUCACAUUGCAAUAAAGAACUACCUGAGACUGGGCAAUUUAUAAAGAAAAUAGGUUUAAUUGGCUCAUGGUUCUUCAGGCUGUACAGGAAGCAUGCUGAGGGGGAGGCCUCAGGAAGCUCACAAUCAUGUCAGAAGGCGAAGGGCAAGCUGGAACAUCUUACUUGGCUGGAGAAGGAGGAAGAAAGGGAAGCAUGAGGUGCUACACACGCUGGAGAAGGAGGAAGAAAGGGAAGCAUGAGGUGCUACACACUUUUAAACAACCAGAUCUCGUGAGCACUCACACACUACCAUGACAACAGCCAGGGGGAAAUUCACCUUCAUGAUCCAAUUGCCUCCCACCAGGCCCCUCGUCCAACACUGGGAAUUACAAUUUGACAUGAGAUUUGGACGGGGACACAAAUCCAAACCAUAUCACACACCCUAAAGAAUUAUUUGGUUAACUUACACCAAACCAAUGGCUUAUUCGAGUGUUGUUACUGGUCCUGUUAAAAAUAAGAUCAACUCCUAGCAAGCAUGCUAUUUCGCCUUUGGAGUUAACAUCUAGUGACCUAUGAAUUCAGGAUUUAAGUUCACUGCUUACCUAUAAAGGAAAACACCAUAGAUGUACUACUUAACUGGGUUGCCAUCUUUCUAGGCUUAUUCUGCCAUCACGUGGCAGAUGCUGGAAAAGUCCCCAAGGAGACGUGCUAUCAAUUUUGACCAGAAAAAAGCUACAUAGAGUUCCAGUGACAAGACUGGAUGAUCAUUGUGCUAAGAAAGACCCCGCCAGGGGUGGAUCAGGAGGUCAGGAGAUCGAGACCAUCCUGGCUAACACGGUGAAACCCCGUCUCUGCUAAAAAUACAAAAAAAAUUAGCCGGGCCUGGUGGUGG